UUUUUUUUUUUCUCAAAUGAAAUAUUAUAUUAAACAUCCGAACAAUACAAAGUUCAACAUACAAGCCUCUUAAGAGAUUACAGAAAAGUUGAGGCCCAAACCAGAGCCUACCAAAAUAACACCGACUCCUGAGAAGAAAUAUCAUCUUUGAUCUUUUGACUCAAUCUAAAAACACGUGUCAUCAAGAGGAUAAACCUCAAUACGUGUUAGAUGAGUAAUCAGAAGGAUUCCGAUAACAACCUCUGCUGUUUGAGCAGUGAUUCCGGUGAGAGAAUCAUCGUCGAAAAACAAUCGAACUGUAUUGUGAUUCUUUUGGUAAUCACGGAAGCUUAACCAUCAAAGCUUCAUGAUAGUUAACAGCAUAAGGAAAUCCAAAUAAGCGUCGGAAAAUUCUUCGCUCCUUCAAACUAGAGAUGUCAUCUCUAAGCGAUUCCUGUAACUCGAAAUCUUCAAAAGAUCUAGCCAGAGAUUAAUAGAUUUAAGGCACACAACACUAACCCUAAACCAGAUAUGAGGCGCUUAUUAAAAAAACCAUAAAAUCUAAAGAUAAUAAAAAGUAAAAACAAACUAUAACAAUCAGUUUAAGACCGAUUCAAAACAAAAGCAACUAUUACGCCGGCCAAACCGCAUGUAGAAGUCGAUUUGCCGGAUGAGAACCGACCAUCUCCGCUAACAGAGCCAGAAGAUGUCGAGAAGAGAACCAACCAACCAUAGCAUGAGAAUUGCCAAUGGAUGUUGGGCUGAAGCCGGUUAAAACUAACCGGACGGCCUUGCCGGAGUUUCCGGACGGCGGACUAAAGAACAAAGUUCGACUCUCUCUCUAAAGGAUAUGAAAGAGAGAAGAGAGAGAGUGAUUUAAUCCUCUGCAUCUAGAGAACAAUAGUGUCAUCGAAAAGUUAACUUCAUUGUAUAUAUGUAAAGUAUACUGUAAUUUGCAAAAGUGUUC
This 946-nucleotide long non-coding RNA is filed under the name Capsella grandiflora. Its description in RNAcentral is "long non-coding RNA (CGRA_LNC000622)". Lineage: Eukaryota; Viridiplantae; Streptophyta; Magnoliopsida; Brassicales; Brassicaceae. The record is from RNAcentral.